AGAGAUGUGGCUCAGGAGUACAGUGCCUGCCUGGCAAGCAGGAGGCCCUGAGUAUGAUUCACAGUACCCCUC
This 72-nucleotide transfer RNA is filed under the name Fukomys damarensis (Damara mole-rat). It matches the Rfam family "tRNA". Rfam says of the family: Transfer RNA (tRNA) molecules are approximately 80 nucleotides in length. The record is from Rfam by way of RNAcentral. Lineage: Eukaryota; Metazoa; Chordata; Mammalia; Rodentia; Bathyergidae.